Molecule: long non-coding RNA, 4207 nt
Organism: Triticum aestivum (bread wheat)
Lineage: Eukaryota; Viridiplantae; Streptophyta; Magnoliopsida; Poales; Poaceae
Exons: 3
Source: RefSeq, a predicted model, not a curated record
AGUCCCUUACUGCCAAUCCCAUCUCCACUCUAGCGCGCCGCCACCUCUUGCCCCGCCCCGCCGGCGCGCCGCCAGCCCGCCUCCCGUCGCCGCACGCUGCUGCCCCUCCACCGCGGCGCGCCGCCGGACUGCCUACCCCAAGUGCCCCCAGCAACCGCCGCCGCCGCCGCCGCCGCCCGCAGCAGCAGCAGGCGCGGCCGGAGAUCCCAUCGUGGGGCCGGCGCCGGUCGAGGAAGGUCCCGGUGGCGCCGCCGGCCGAGAAGCCCGCGCCAUAUGACGAUAGGAGCGAGGGCGCCGCCAGCCUGGACACCCCCGAGGACGACGAGCACGACCAGGCAGUAGCGGCGGAGGACGAGGCCAAGGCUAGCGCGCAGGACAAGUCGGCGCAGGAGCAGCGCGGCGUGGUCGCGAGCUUGUCCCACGGGAACGCCCAUCUCCUAAAGGCUCGCGAUGACCUCCGCCUUUUCCUUCUUGAAUAGCAUCAACCCAGCAUCCUUAUUCCCCUGCCUGCAAGAAUGAUCCAGUACUGUUUGAAAAAUAUAGACCGCAGUUGACCUCUUAUGGUCAGCAUAUUCCGCACUGAGCAACGACGAGCUCAUUGUUGAUAUCCCCCAACUCAACACAGGUCACCUACCCUGCUUCCUACUUCCUACUUCCAACUUCCAAUGUAUUUUGUGACUGAGAUUGUGCACAUGAGCAAUCUGUGAGGAUGUCAAGAAACGAUGGAAUUAGAUUAUGCAAAGCUUUCCGGUGGCUGAAUGGCUCUCACAUGUUCUACUGCUGCAAAUUUGUGUCAUCAAUGGGGUGUUCUCCAUUGGUUAUGAUACAACAACUGAUGCUUCAUUUCCAGAUUAACAAGAAAGGUCAAACUGACUAAAAAAUGUAAGGACAUCAGCAUCUUCUCUUUCUCUAUUAUUAUGAGAGCAUACUGCAUAAUAAUGCCUUUCAUGAUUCAGGCUCCUGUUCUUUUUUACCCUCUGCAGUCCUGAAGGUAGAGGAUACACGAUCUUUUACUGCAUUUUUACGGGUGUCUCCAUUGUUGUACACACUUUGAUACUUCCCAAUAAUGGAAUGUAUUUUCGAGAAAGAUAUCUGUACCUACAAAGUACAUAUCUACAAAUAAUUCACUCAUUUUAAAUGAUACUUCAAUCUGCAUGUUGUUUGCAAAAUUCUAAUUUUAAUUUAUCAAGCUUUACUAUGCUUUAAAUUAUACCAGUACUAUAUUUGAUGUGUGUCCAAGUUACCAGCUGUGGUAUUCAUCUUCUUUCUCCUUUUUUGGUGGGUUUUAUUUUGAUGAGAAGAAACAACACCCUACUGUGUACACAGGAAAGGAGCAUGCUUGGUUCUUCUAUCUAUAUUAUUUCUAUAGAAUAACACCUCAUGUUUUCACUAUUAUAGUGUUGUGUCCCUUUCGAGAAAGCCAUGGAAACCAUGGUGUUCUUCGUGCACCGCUAUCUUAGUAGUUGGCCUUCAAAAGGGACCAAGAUCUAUAUUCAUCGAAAUUAAGCUAAUAUUUUUUGAUUCUCUUUUGUUCAAUUUUCAGUCCAUAAACUACAUUUCCAGCGGGAGAGGGAGGUAUAAGUGCGAGAGGUACCCGUCCAUCCAAAGUCCUGUGUUGUUUGCUGUCUGUGCGCGUGUGCGCAAUUGGUGGCUGCCACUUUGUUGCCAUUUUCCCUUAUUUUUGUACCUGAGAGAUAAAUAAGGAAGCAAUGAGAGAUUAAUUAACUGGUGGGCUAUUAAACGGAGAAUAUGAAAUAAUUCAGAAGAAACAGAUCGAUCAGCUUCCAAGCCAAAUCAGUUAGUAAGCCUCGUGUAAUGGUGGCGGAUUGUUGUGCGUGGCUACAUAACAAUCUAUUCGGACAAUCUUGAGGCCUAAUGAUCGAAUCUGCAGACUGUACCAUAUGCUUAUAUAUGCCAAGCUUUAAUACUUGGUACAAUGGCUCUCUCCGCUCAAAUGGAUAGGUCAGCUAAUUUUUGUCAAUAAUUUCUCUAUAAUGAAAAUCCACUGUAUUACAUUACAAGAUAUAUACAAUUAGUUAUUAUCCUUUUAGUCAAGACAUUACAAGAAUGACGAGUGCGUGGAUGUCGUGGACGACACCGGCCAGUACCGACACCGGCCAUUCUGUGCAAGGGGAUCAUCUUUUGGGGCGAUUUCAACCAUUUGUGCGGUGUUGGUCGAGUGGGAGUGGAUCGGAAACACCGGAUUGCUUUGUGUGUUAGGGGAGGUGAUGUGCGCCAGUACGUGAUCGACAAUGUGAAUAAUGAGCUUGGAAUUUGGAGGUGCCAAGUUGGUCAUGUUCUUUCUUUAGGAGGCCAUUGAUCAGCUGUAGAAUAGAAGAAACCUCGAAUGAGGUAGAAAAGGUGGAGGCAAAGCUUUACCUAUUUACUUAUUUUCUGAAUAAAGCUUAACCUAAUUUUAGUCUGCUAUAUAUCUAAGUAUAAAAUCGUACACACAUAAUCCCACUAUUUUCUACAUUACCAAUUACUCCCUCCGUCCGGGUUUAUUAGGCCCCUCAGCAUCACAAGCGUGUCCCUUUUUAUAAGGCUCUGCUUUGGAAAGGUGCAUGCAUGCAACCAUUUCAUUGGUUGCACUGAAAGCCAUUGUUGUUGGUGCCAUGGCUGAAAAAUUAAUACACUUCAUGCCUGCUUUUCAUUGGCUGCAUGCAUGUGAGAAAGUGCAUUGGGAGUGGAAUGGAAGAAAUAAUGUGAGCAAAUUACUAUGUGUCUUGGUCGAAGAGAAGUUGUCUUUAGGCCUAAUAAACCCGGAUGGAGGGAGUAACUACCAUUAAUUAAACUGCUCAUCAUGAAGUACAUGUCCUCGGUUUUUAGUCAUUUCUUAUAGAAAUUUGUACUCCCUCCGUUCCAUAUUAGUUGUCGCUCAAACGGAUGUAUCUAGCACUGAAAUACGUCUAGAUACAUCCAUUUCAGAGACAACUAAUAUAGAACGGAGGGAGUAGUUUUUAUGUCCGUUGAGCUCAGGAUUGUGGAGAUACUACCAGCCGAUCUAAUUGUACUCUGGUUGCAUGUCCCCUAACUCCACAGUAACAUGGUAAUUGCUUCACUUUUUAUUUAUGAUAUCUUUCUAAGGGCAAACAUAAUUAGUAGAUUGUGUAAAGAAGGUCAUUCAUAAAAAAAUGGAGCUAUGCUUAUUGCACUAGGGACGUGUAGCAUUUUUUUCUCCCAUUGCAACGCACGGGCAUGUUUGCUAUAGUCAAUAAAAUCCCUAAUCCGUGACAUUCUGAUCAAUUAUCUCGAACAGACACAUGUAGUGAUUGAUAACUUAAAUAAAAUCAAGUUAUUUUCCUAAACUAAGAUUUUUUUUGCUUGUUCCAGUCGUCAGCUAUUUUGAAUUUAUUUCAUGAUGUGCCUGCUCAUAUCUGAGUCCUGACCAUCUGGUGCUCUUUUUCAGAUUUGCUCAUGAUUCUACAGUUCUUUUCUGAACUUGUUCGUCCUAUUCGGGAUUUGCUUCUUCCAAUCUACUAUUCUGAUUUCCUUUUUCCCAGGCUUGGUCAAGAACUAGCAUGCUACAAAAUAGAUAAAGGAGUGGCUUGCUGAUGCUCAUAAUUCCAAGAUGUUCUUACAGACCGCACCUCUCUGUUAUGGGCAUCUUAGUUCUGCAAUCAAGUUGCUCAUGUGCAUAAAACUGCUAUGACACAUCUAUUUGUUUAAGAUGUCAUGUUGUUCUGCAAAUUGAAGUUUGUGUGUACACUAUCCCACAACAUGGAGUAGUGAGGAUGCAGAGGCCCUAGAUCAACCACUUGAUGUGAAUCAAUAUAGUGGUUGUGCAAAGUGUAUAAGGUCGUUUCUGAACCUCAGCAUGGAGGCGUUGCACUAAGGGAUGCAGUGAUCUUCGCCCAGGGUAAUUUUUCGAGGAUUCACUAGAGACAGACUGCUACGAGUUGGUUGGUUCGUAUCUGGUCAGCGAUCGAUCAUUUUCAUCUUUUGGUAUUCAGUUAGCCAGAUAAGUACUACGUAUGGAAGACUUCCUUUGUCAAAACCAGCUAGCUCAUUGGUUCAUUUUCAUGUAAUUAUCGGUAACACCUUUUUGAAUCUUGCAUCCACUAAAGUUUGAUAGUUCAUUCAUGAGUGUUUUAAGUUCUGUGGCAGAAUAAACACAUCGGCCAUUCGAUGAUGUCUUGUGGAAUUUUUUAGAGAUAUAUUGACAAGAUUGCAUUUGUCAAAUACUCCAAAAAAGGAUUUUUUUUUU